Molecule: long non-coding RNA, 338 nt
Organism: Oncorhynchus tshawytscha (Chinook salmon)
Lineage: Eukaryota; Metazoa; Chordata; Actinopteri; Salmoniformes; Salmonidae
Source: Ensembl
UGGGAGGUGGGGACACUCCAGUACAGUAGGUAUCAUAACGUUGGUUUGGGAAGUGGGGACACUCCAGUACAGUAGGUAUCAUAACGUUGGUUGGACAGGUGGGGACACUCCAGUACAGUAGGUAUCAUAACGUUGGUUUGGGAGGUGGGGACACUCCAGUACAGUAGGUCGGAUGCCAAUAAACCCCACAGAAGAAGAGGCGAUGGAGACAACGGUUGACAGUGUCCUUCGCUCUUCCUGUUCAGGCACUGUUUUCCCUGCAGUUCUGUUAACAAGGGCAGGUGUUGGCAGGCUGGAGCGAAUGAUACUGUGUGCUAGCUAGGACUCCGGUACACAGC